Molecule: ribosomal RNA, 1439 nt
Filed under: metagenome
Description: bacterial SSU rRNA
Rfam family: Bacterial small subunit ribosomal RNA
Source: RNAcentral
AGAGUUUGAUCCUAGCUCAGGAUGAAUGCUAGCGGCGUGGAUAAGGCAUGCAAGUCAAGGGGUCCGCAAGGACACCGGCAGACGAGGUAGUAAUACGCAGGUACGCACCGAAGAGUCGGGCAUAGCUCGCCGAAAGGCGGGGUAAUUUCCGAUGGUGAGGCAACUCUAAAGUAGCAAUACGCUCUUUGAGCGGCCUGCGGGACAUCAGGUAGUUGGUAGGGUAACGGCCUACCAAGCCUACGACGUCUAGGGGAGCUGAGAGGCUGACCCCCACCGAUGGGACUGAGACACGGCCCAUACAUCUACGGAUGGCUGCAGUCGAGAAUAUUUGGCAAUGGGCGAAAGCCUGACCAUGCGACGCCGCGUGCUGGACGAAGUCCUUCGGGACGUAAACAGCUUUUAUGCGUGAAGAAGUAAUUGACAUUAGCGCAUGAAUAAGGGGCUCCUAACUCUGUGCCAGCAGGAGCGGUAAUACAGAGGCCCCAAGCAUUAUCCGGAAUCACUGGGCGUAAAGGGUGUGUAGGCGGCGAUAUUAGUCUUUUGUAAAAGCUCUGGGGCUUAACCCCGGAACUGCGAGAGAAACGGUAUUGCUUGAGGACGCGAGAGGUAGAGGGAACUCAUGGUGUAGGGGUGAAAUCCGUUGAUAUCAUGGGGAACACCAAAUGCGAAGGCACUCUACUGGCGCGCACCUGACGCUGAAACACGAAAGCGUGGGGAUCGAACGGGAUUAGAUACCCCGGUAGUCCACGCCCUAAACGAUCAUAACUGGCUUUGCGGAGUAUCGACCCUCUGCGAGGCGAAGCUAACGCGUUAAGUUAUGCGCCUGGGUAGUACGAUCGCAAGAUUAAAACUCAAAGGAAUAGACGGGGACUUGCACAAGCGGUGGAUCAUGCGGCUCAAUUCGAUGGCAAACGAAGAACCUCACCAGGGUUUGCACCCAGACGACCGGCUAGGAAACUAGUCUUCCGCAAGGCGGCUGGGCAGUUGAUGCAUGGUCGUCGUCAGUUCGUGGCUUGAGUUGUUCCCUUCAGUGGGGUAACGAACGCAACCCGCGUUGCCUGUUUUAUAUCUCAGGCGAGACUGCCCUCUCACGAGGGAGGAAGGUGCGGAUGACGCCAGAUCAGCAUGUCCCUCUGAUAUCCUGGGCUGCACGCAUGAUACAAUGGGCGCAACAACGAGACGCAAUACGGUAACGUGGAGCAAAUCUUGAAAUGCGCCCCCAGUUCGGAUUGAGGUCUGCAACUCGACCUCAUGAAGCCGGAAUCGCUAGUAAUCGCGGGUCAGCUAUACCGCGGUGAAUACGUUCUCAAGUCUUGUACUCACCGCCCGUCAACUCAAGGGAGCCGGGAAUACCCGAAGCACAUCGCAAGAUGUAUCACGGUAAGUUCGGUGACAGGGAGUAAGUCGUAACAAGGCACGGGUAGCGGAAGCUGCUCGUG